This 1330-nucleotide long non-coding RNA is filed under the name Mus spicilegus (steppe mouse). RNAcentral's name for it is "lncRNA (ENSMSIG00000012563.1)". The record is from RNAcentral. Lineage: Eukaryota; Metazoa; Chordata; Mammalia; Rodentia; Muridae.
CAGCUGUCAAAGCUCAGUGGCCUGGAGUGGAGACGGGGCGGGGCUUAGGAGCGGAGGCGGAGCCUCGGAGAGCAUCUUCUGGCCCCGGGGCCUGGACUGGCCCGCCGCCCCCACCUGCAGCGCGGCGGAGCGCGGGCGCGUCACUCCCAGCGGAAGCGCCAGCCCCGCGUCUGGCGAGGUGCGCGCCUCGCCGCUCCCGCUCCAGCGCUUCGUGGCCCGCCUGUGUCUGCAGGGCAGGGGCGGGGGCCCGGUGACACGGACAGGGGACUGAGAUCGCAGUCGCCGCCGAAUCGUCGACAGUCACCCAGCUCGGACGGAGCGUCCGAGCAGGAGCCGAUCAGGAAGGUGAAGGACCACUGCGGAGCCGACAGCGCGUCCCAGCACCUUGGACUUGCUCUCUCCUGAACUGGGGAAAAUCUGAGGAAACCAGGCACGGACCUUGGAGACACGCCGCCUGCACACUCAACAGUCUGGAAAUCCAGCCACCUUGGUACCUCGCCGCUUCCCAGACACUUUGGAGGAGCAGGUUUGCAAUUUCUACCCCCAUCCUCAUCCCCUCCCCCGUCUCUGUCUCUGCUGAGGGAGGGAAUCUUCUGAGGAGAAGAUGGGAUCUAGGCACCCAUAACCUAGCCCCAGGAAGAGCUCAUGGGAGCCAGCCUAGCUUUGUAGCUAUGUGAGGGAAACAGCACACCUUAUAAACUAACUCCUUCCCAUGGGCAGUUCCUGAAUAUUUCUUAGAAGACUGGAGACCCAAGAAAGCUGACUUUUCCUGGGCAGUCAGUGCAUCUUUUAUUUGGCUCCGACUCUCUGCUUGCUGGGAACAGACACAUUUUGCUUAUGACCUCUGGCUGGCCUCAUUACAGUUGCUGUCUGGCUUUGGACUGCUUGCCCAUCAGGACAGUGAUUUUGAAGAGCUGACUGGGAAGAGAAAGCUGCAAGCCUCAAGUCCUGGUUGGCUCCUGCUCAGGGUUGUAGUCUUCUGUGGGACCCGUGGGCUCCCUAAUCCUCUGGACUGUGGCAGCAACUCUGCCCUUCACCUCUGCAAGGAAAUUAAUUUUCAAACAACUUGGGGAUGAUGGUGGAGGCACCCCUGUGUGAGCAGAUGCAGGGCUUGGAAGCAACCAGGAAACAAACAGGAGUAAGAAAUCCUUUUUAAAGGCUUACAUGAUUCUGGGACUAAGAAAAGAUGGAGAUGCCAUUGGUGUGUGAAACCUGACAUCUCCCUGUUAGGUCCCACCAGUCCAGGGGACUCACAUAAGCAGGACCUGUAUUGGAUGAUGCAUAUUUGGAACCUAGUACUUACUGAAUUCCUAAGCAGUAAAUGCCUCCC